UGAACGCUGGCGGCGUGCCUAACACAUGCAAGUCGAACGCGUACAUGGGGUUCGCCCCAGGUGCGAGUGGCAGACGGGUGAGUAACGCGUGGACAAUCUACCUCCAAGUGGGGAAUAUCCAUCCGAAAGGGUGGGCAAUACCGCAUAAUAUCGCAGGAACUACGGAGCCUGUGAUCAAAGCUGGGGACCGGGAAACUGGCCUGGCGCUGGGAGAGGAGUUCGCGUUGGAUUAGCUAGUUGGUGAGGUAACGGCCCACCAAGGCGACGAUCCAUAGCCGGCCUGAGAGGGUGAUCGGCCACACUGGAACUGAGACACGGUCCAGACUCCUACGGGAGGCAGCAGUGGGGAAUUUUGCGCAAUGGGGGAAACCCUGACGCAGCAACGCCGCGUGGGUGAUGAAGCAUCUUGGUGUGUAAAGCCCUGUCAACGGGGACUAAGGUACGGUAUUGAAUAGAUGCCGUGCUUGAAUGUACCUGUGGAGGAAGCCCCGG
RNAcentral lists this ribosomal RNA (492 nucleotides) under uncultured bacterium. RNAcentral's name for it is "bacterial SSU rRNA". It matches the Rfam family "Bacterial small subunit ribosomal RNA", at positions 30 to 496 of the family's 1533-position model. The record is from RNAcentral.